Molecule: ribosomal RNA, 492 nt
Filed under: uncultured bacterium
Lineage: Bacteria
Description: partial 16S ribosomal RNA
Rfam family: Bacterial small subunit ribosomal RNA
Source: RNAcentral
AGUGAACGCUGGCGGUAGGCCUAACACAUGCAAGUCGAACGGCAGCACAGUAAGAGCUUGCUCUUACGGGUGGCGAGUGGCGGACGGGUGAGGAAUACAUCGGAAUCUACUUUUUCGUGGGGGAUAACGUAGGGAAACUUAUGCUAAUACCGCAUACGACCUACGGGUGAAAGCAGGGGAUCUUCGGACCUUGCGCUAUUGAAUGAGCCGAUGUCGGAUUAGCUAGUUGGCGGGGUAAAGGCCCACCAAGGCGACGAUCCGUAGCUGGUCUGAGAGGAUGAUCAGCCACACUGGAACUGAGACACGGUCCAGACUCCUACGGGAGGCAGCAGUGGGGAAUAUUGGACAAUGGGCGCAAGCCUGAUCCAGCCAUACCGCGUGGGUGAAGAAGGCCUUCGGGUUGUAAAGCCCUUUUGUUGGGAAAGAAAAGCAGCAGGUUAAUACCCCGCUGUUCUGACGGUACCCAAAGAAUAAGCACCGGCUAACUUCGUG